Gossypium arboreum is the source of this 1239-nucleotide long non-coding RNA. RefSeq lists it as uncharacterized. Lineage: Eukaryota; Viridiplantae; Streptophyta; Magnoliopsida; Malvales; Malvaceae. The transcript has 2 exons. The record is from RefSeq and is a predicted model, not a curated record.
GGACAGUUUGCACUUUGAUUGUCCGCAGGUAUGCUUGCACUUAGACAGUUCGCCAAUAUGUUUAGACAAUCCGCCAAUCUUGUCGUGUAAGAACUCUCCGUAUGAUAGUUCGCAUAUUAACAGUCCGCCAGCCGUCUCAUGCUUGGGUCCGCCAUGUGACGUAUGCUUGAACUGUCCGCCAUAUGUAUUCGCCACUGCAUGGUUGGUCAUCUUGCAACACUCUCCUUGACCUCCAUGCUGUGAACUCCAAUGUCAUAUUACUUCAUCUUCCCAAUAGGCUUAGUUAGAAUAUCUGCUAAUUGAUAUGGUGAACUGCAAUGAACCAGUGUUACCUCAUUUGCUUGUUCCACUUCCUCAAAAAAUGAUACUUUGAAUGUUUAUUUUUUUUUAUGGAAUAGUGGAUUCUUUGCAAUUGCAACAGUAGAUUGAUUGUCACAUUUCAUAUCUGUUGCUUCCUCUUGGUAUAUGUUCAAGUCAUUCAAUAACUUUCUUGACCAAAUGGCCUGAUUGACAGGUACAGCACCUGCAACAUAUUCUGCUUCAUAAACUUCACUGCAUAGAUCAAUGUUCCUUUUGGCGGCUUUGUAAUGGAUUACAGUUGUACCGAAUCUGGCUGCAAUUAAGUAAAGCAAGCAUCCAACCAAGCUAGAAAAUCUUUAUAGACAGUUUGUACCGAAUCUUGCCUCACUCAUGCUAGAAAAUCUUUAUAAAUUUUCAAAUUUUGGAAAUGCGAUUGUUGACGAGAGAACAGAUUUUUGAAAUAGGAGCUAAUGAGUAUCCAAAUUGUCUUCUUUUGCAAUCCAAUACCUCUGAUAAUUUUUAAUACAGUUGAUGCCAUUGUUUCGCCCAUGAUUGAUUGUUGUGGCAUUGAAGAAUUAGGUAUUUUGUAUUCAUUUAGUUCAAGAUCUUUGGUACCAGUACCACUCCUCAACUUCCACAAGCUUGUUGAGGUUAAGGGAAAUGAUUUGAUAGAUUGUGAUCAGAUUCGAUUGCAGGCUGGUCGACGAAAGACUUAGUGGGAAGAGGCGGCUCCAAAGCAGAGAGAGAAGUACCAUAUCAGCAGUAAGAACCGUUAUAUGGUUCAAACAAUCUCUACAAGCGGACGGAGGUACAAGAGAGAGAAAAUUUUGAUUUGUGUUUUAAAUGUAGUUUUUUUUUCAGAAAUUCUGUAAUAACACAUGGGUUUGAGUUGGAUUAGAAAUGAAACCAUGUCUGGCAUUAUUGGCCUAUUGAUUAUUA